This 693-nucleotide ribosomal RNA is filed under the name uncultured bacterium. Its description in RNAcentral is "bacterial SSU rRNA". It matches the Rfam family "Bacterial small subunit ribosomal RNA", at positions 32 to 715 of the family's 1533-position model. The record is from RNAcentral.
AACGCUAGCUACAGGCUUAACACAUGCAAGUCGAGGGGCAGCAUGAACUUAGCUUGCUAAGUUUGAUGGCGACCGGCGCACGGGUGAGUAACACGUAUCCAACCUGCCGAUGACUCGGGGAUAGCCUUUCGAAAGAAAGAUUAAUACCCGAUGGCAUAGUUCUUCCGCAUGGUAGAACUAUUAAAGAAUUUCGGUCAUCGAUGGGGAUGCGUUCCAUUAGGUUGUUGGCGGGGUAACGGCCCACCAAGCCUUCGAUGGAUAGGGGUUCUGAGAGGAAGGUCCCCCACAUUGGAACUGAGGCACGGUCCAAACUCCUACGGGAGGCAGCAGUGAGGAAUAUUGGUCAAUGGACGAGAGUCUGAACCAGCCAAGUAGCGUGAAGGAUGACUGCCCUAUGGGUUGUAAACUUCUUUUAUACGGGAAUAAAGUGAGGCACGUGUGCCUUUUUGUAUGUACCGUAUGAAUAAGGAUCGGCUAACUCCGUGCCAGCAGCCGCGGUAAUACGGAGGAUCCGAGCGUUAUCCGGAUUUAUUGGGUUUAAAGGGAGCGUAGGCGGACGCUUAAGUCAGUUGUGAAAGUUUGCGGCUCAACCGUAAAAUUGCAGUUGAUACUGGGUGUCUUGAGUACAGUAGAGGCAGGCGGAAUUCGUGGUGUAGCGGUGAAAUGCUUAGAUAUCACGAAGAACUCCGAUUG